AAACAUUUAUGUGUUUACUCUGUUGUUCUAAAUUAUAUUUUAAUUUGCACCAUCUAGUGGUGAGAGCAUGUGGAACAAAGUUCAAUUAAAGUUCCACACGGACUCAUUUAACUACGCACACAGCUAUCAGCGUAUUGCUGCAGCCACGUGAAGAUCUCCGAAAAUUAAAGGAAAGCUGAAGCCAAAUGAGUAAUUAGCCCCUCGUGGAUGUCAGCCCACGAGUUCUCACGGGUUGUGAAGACCAAUAAACCCUGUUUUAAACACCUCGUGCUCAUGCUAAUUCCUCGAGGGUGCUACAGUGAGAACUCUUCUGCUCCGCAUGGGUCAUGGGUAGACGAGACGGUGCCAGCGCCGAGAGGGACAACAGCGCCACCCUGCGACGGCCAAAUGCACAACACCGAACUUCAGGUUCCCAAAGAUGAAUGUUGCAUCAAGGACUCCGAUUAAUAUUAGUUAAUAUGAAAGUAUAACCGUCGAGAAGAGACUGCAAUAAGAAACAGGAUAUUUUUCGUUUCUGUUUAAUCGAAGGGACUGAGAUAAUAUAAUUUUUUUUUCCUGUUCAAGUUUAAGUGAUUUGUUCAAUAGUGAAAUUUAUCUAUGCCAAGUAACCUGUAUAUUGUUCAUAUUGUCAUGGCUACAGAACGACAGAGACCCAGAUGCUGGAACCCGGAAUGAGACAGAGCUCAGGUAACUUGGCAAGAGGAAAGGGGAUUUAAUGAGGUAGCUGGUCAGAGUCCGGGGUUGGCAGCGUGGAUCCGUCUCUUGAGGGUGUUUACUCGGCAGAGGCUCGUGGUGAGGUCAGGGGAAGCAGACCAGAGGCGGUUCCAGAGUGCAACAGGUUCAGGCGACCACUCGUGACUGGGGUUUCCUGCAGACAGGGGCAACGGACUGGCGAAGACAGAUGAUCCUGGAACUCCUUAAGUAGGCGGAUGAGGUGAUGAGUGGUGAGAGCAUGUGGAACAAAGUUCAAUUAAAGUUCCACACGGACUCAUUUAACUACGGGCACAGCUAUCAGCGCAUUGCUGCAGCCACGUGAAGAUCUCCGGUAAGAUCGGUAGAAAUCACAUCGAUGUAUAACAGAAUUAUCAAUGUAAUAAUUUGUUUAUUGUGUUUAUUUAGAAAGUUAAAGGAAAGUUGAAGCCAAAUGAGCAAUUAGCCCCUCGUGGAUGUCAGCCCACGAGGUUUGUGUGCUUUUAUUUGUAUAAUUUAAGAUUCAUAUUUUGUAAGCUGUAGAAUUGUAUUUGAUGCAUAUUUGUGUAUUUAUUUUGCCCGCCAGUUCUCACGGGUUGUGAAGACCAAUAAACCCUGUUUUAAACACCUCGUGCUAUUCAAUAUGUCAGUCAAUUUCAAUAGGUCUGUAAAUUUUAGCCAAAAUCAAAAAACCUGCGUCGUUUUCUAGGACAUAGUAUCUGCAGAGCGGUAGAAUUUUAUGUCGUGGGCGUGACAGUUGGCACGGAGCAAUCUCGCUCCCCCUUCCCCUCCCUGCUGCUGGGAGCUCAGAACAGAGAGCUUGUGGCCUUCUGAGUGUAUUCUCUACAUCACAAAUAAGCUCCUUAUAAAAUGCCAUUUGUUUAAAUAAAAACUCAGACAUGCUGGUUAAUUCUAAAUUGUCUUUGUACAUGUCUUCCAUCGGAAACAAUGGCACAAUAAUAUGUUCAAAACACCUCUUUUGGGGGGAGUGGGUCAUUUAAAAUUAUAAUUUAAAGAGAUGAGACCACAAGUCUAUGCUGGUUAAUGCAGCUGAUGUUCCAACCAAUGGUCACGAUAGUCUUUGGUUUCUCGCCUGCAGAAGCGACGCCUGUAUGUAUUUACUGAUGGUUUUGUGUAGUUUUGGGAUGUUAUGUCAUUUGUCAGUGAUUAAAAACGUAUAAAAAAAA
This is a non-coding RNA of Oryzias latipes (Japanese medaka), 1877 nucleotides long. NCBI's taxonomy places the organism in Eukaryota, Metazoa, Chordata, Actinopteri, Beloniformes, Adrianichthyidae. The record is from RefSeq and is a predicted model, not a curated record.